Molecule: ribosomal RNA, 492 nt
Filed under: uncultured bacterium
Lineage: Bacteria
Description: partial 16S ribosomal RNA
Rfam family: Bacterial small subunit ribosomal RNA
Source: RNAcentral
AGUGAACGCUGGCGGUAGGCCUAACACAUGCAAGUCGAACGGCAGCACAGUAAGAGUUUGCUCUUACGGGUGGCGAGUGGCGGACGGGUGAGGAAUACAUCGGAAUCUACUUUUUCGUGGGGGAUAACGUAGGGAAACUUACGCUAAUACCGCAUACGACCUACGGGUGAAAGCAGGGGAUCUUCGGACCUUGCGCGAUUGAAUGAGCCGAUGUCGGAUUAGCUAGUUGGCGGGGUAAAGGCCCACCAAGGCGACGAUCCGUAGCUGGUCUGAGAGGAUGAUCAGCCACACUGGAACUGAGACACGGUCCAGACUCCUACGGGAGGCAGCAGUGGGGAAUAUUGGACAAUGGGCGCAAGCCUGAUCCAGCCAUACCGCGUGGGUGAAGAAGGCCUUCGGGUUGUAAAGCCCUUUUGUUGGGAAAGAAAAGCAGCAGGUUAAUACCCCGCUGUUCUGACGGUACCCAAAGGAUAUGCACCGGCUAACUUCGUG